GUUUGACCUCGGAUCAGGUAGGGAUACCCGCUGAACUUAA
RNAcentral lists this ribosomal RNA (40 nucleotides) under Curvularia lunata. RNAcentral describes it as "partial 28S ribosomal RNA". Lineage: Eukaryota; Fungi; Ascomycota; Dothideomycetes; Pleosporales; Pleosporaceae. RNAcentral also lists the same sequence under 12 other names. The record is from RNAcentral.